GCUGGCGGCGUGCCUAAUACAUGCAAGUCGAGCGAACAGAUAAGGAGCUUGCUCCUUUGACGUUAGCGGCGGACGGGUGAGUAACACGUGGAUAACCUACCUAUAAGACUGGGAUAACUUCGGGAAACCGGAGCUAAUACCGGAUAAGAUUUUGAACCGCAUGGUUCAAUAGUGAAAGACGGCCUUGCUGUCACUUAUAGAUGGAUCCGCGCCGUAUUAGCUAGUUGGUAAGGUAACGGCUUACCAAGGCAACGAUACGUAGCCGACCUGAGAGGGUGAUCGGCCACACUGGAACUGAGACACGGUCCAGACUCCUACGGGAGGCAGCAGUAGGGAAUCUUCCGCAAUGGGCGAAAGCCUGACGGAGCAACGCCGCGUGAGUGAUGAAGGUCUUCGGAUCGUAAAACUCUGUUAUCAGGGAAGAACAAACGUGUAAGUAACUGUGCACGUCUUGACGGUACCUGAUCAGAAAGCCACGGCUAACUACGUGCCAGCAGCCGCGGUAAUACGUAGGUGGCAAGCGUUAUCCGGAAUUAUUGGGCGUAAAGCGCGCGUAGGCGGUUUUUUAAGUCUGAUGUGAAAGCCCACGGCUCAACCG
RNAcentral lists this ribosomal RNA (598 nucleotides) under Staphylococcus sp. AU3-01. RNAcentral's name for it is "bacterial SSU rRNA". It matches the Rfam family "Bacterial small subunit ribosomal RNA", at positions 35 to 615 of the family's 1533-position model. The record is from RNAcentral. Lineage: Bacteria; Bacillati; Bacillota; Bacilli; Caryophanales; Staphylococcaceae.